UGUCUCCUCUAUUCUCUUUCCGAAAAUAGAUUCAGCCCGCUCCUUGUAGCGGGCUUUUUUUU
RNAcentral lists this non-coding RNA (62 nucleotides) under Massilia sp. CF038. RNAcentral's name for it is "Betaproteobacteria toxic small RNA". It matches the Rfam family "Betaproteobacteria toxic small RNA". From Rfam's summary of the family: Overexpression in amino aid rich medium attenuates growth, suggesting role in repressing amino acid intake and metabolism. The record is from Rfam by way of RNAcentral. Lineage: Bacteria; Pseudomonadati; Pseudomonadota; Betaproteobacteria; Burkholderiales; Oxalobacteraceae.